AUAUUCGAAUUCUCAUUCGGUGGUAGCUCCUGGUCGGAGUAGCCUUGAGAAUCGAAGCGAUCGAAAUUAGACCGGUUUCAAUACUCGCGCUCGAGAGAAAGACAAGAAGAAUGACGACAUACGCGCGCAGUCCAGCGAGGACGAUUUUGUGGAAAGUCGAGUAGAGAGAGCGAGUGAGGCUGUUACCGCUACUACUGUCGGCUCGUACGUUCGCCUGCUCCAAUUGCGAUUUCUCGCUUACGCGUGCUAAUUAACCCUAAUUGUACGGAGGGGCGGAGGAAAGAGAAAAAAGGGGGAUACGGGGAGAGAAGGAUAGAUCGCGAUGCGAGUAGAACGGUGGGGGACGCUCUAUAACGGGCGAUUUCACCAUCUCGCGUCCCAUCGUCCCAUCGUCCCAUCGUCGCGAUCCUCGCGAUUCGAGAGCGAGAUAGCAUUCUGUCGUGCAAUAUCGUCCGCAAUUGGUCCUACACAACGCACAUGUGUGUAUCAAGCGCAGCGUGAACUCUUUUGAUUCGACGCACCACGCGGUUCCGAGGCCCGGAAUUUAUGUUUUACACAACGAGACUCAUUAGUGUUGCUCGAUGUAAUAGCAGAUAACUAAAUCAAACGAUUAAUGACGAAUAAUGAUGCGACACUCGUAAUUACGCAUACUUACACAUACCCGCCUCACUAGAUGACUGAUCAUGACUGAUCUGAUAAUAACAAUUUUUUUUCAAACUUGUGUAAUACGAAUCAAGUGUGAGAACUAAUUAAUAACAUUGAUACGAAAAAACUAAAGAUGAUAACUUCAGAGAUCAUUCUUCGGAAAUUAUCCUAUAGAUGUAGAAUUAUUAUUAUGAAAAUUACUGUGAAAACGAGCUUUACUAUGAAAUUAUUCGAAAUGAACAUGAAUUGUGUCGCGAUAUUUAAAUACAUAUUUACUUGAUUGGAUUUCCAUAUUGUAUUGUUAUGCCCGCGCGAAUCUUCCGCGGCCGAGUCUGGAGUCGAGCAGUUGCCGUUUGCAGUAGAAGCGAAACACUCUCCGGGGCAACGGUUGUUUUGUUUACGAAAAGGAGACUCUGUCAUGUUACUCGACGACGAUGAUGUACGUGGAGGCGCAAUGUGCAACGUUAAUGACGCGCCUGCUGCGCUACGACCGACUUUAUCGGGGAUGUCAGGUUGUGAUACUUGGAUCGUACAACCGUUACCGAGAGGAGAGCCAGGGGUCAAGCUUAGGCGUGCAUAUUGCUUCUUUGCACACGUCAUUUUCCUCACGAGCAAAGAUUACACGUCAUCAUCUCCAGAAAAUGCAAUCAAAACAGACACAUAAUCCGUGUCGCGAUUUGUCCAACAUUUAUCAAUCUGUCGUCUCUUGUACGUUCUUGUUCGAGAAGAUAAUACAACCUUGAUUAUAUGUAUAUAACCGUAUAUCUUUUAGUAAAUUCCUGCGAGUUAAACUGGCAGUUGACCUUCGUGAGUUAAAAGAUGACAGUGACCUUUCAUAAUAAAUAUCGUAAUAAAUAUCGAACGUGUUAUUU
Pogonomyrmex barbatus (red harvester ant) is the source of this 1517-nucleotide long non-coding RNA. The record is from RefSeq and is a predicted model, not a curated record. Lineage: Eukaryota; Metazoa; Arthropoda; Insecta; Hymenoptera; Formicidae.